AGCAGUAGCCGCGGUAAUACGUAGGGUGCAAGCGUUAAUCGGAAUUACUGGGCGUAAAGCGUGCGCAGGCGGUUUCGCAAGACAGAUGUGAAAUCCCCGGGCUCAACCUGGGACCUGCAUUUGUGACUGUAUAGCUAGAGUACGGUAGAGGGGGAUGGAAUUCCGCGUGUAGCAGUGAAAUGCGUAGAUAUGCGGAGGAACACCGAUGGCGAAGGCAAUCCCCUGGACCUGUACUGACGCUCAUGCACGAAAGCGUGGGGAGCAAACAGGAUUAGAUACCCCAGUAGUCCCUGUCUCUUAUAA
This 303-nucleotide ribosomal RNA is filed under the name uncultured bacterium. RNAcentral describes it as "partial 16S ribosomal RNA". It matches the Rfam family "Bacterial small subunit ribosomal RNA", at positions 507 to 809 of the family's 1533-position model. The record is from RNAcentral.